UAUUGGGCAAUGGGCGCAAGCCUGACCCAGCAACGCCGCGUUAAGGAAGAAGGCCCUCGGGUUGUAAACUUCUUUUAUCAAGGACGAAACAAAUGACGGUCCUUGAUGAAUAAGCCACGGCUAACUACGAGCCAGCAGCCGCGGUAACACGCAGGUGGUAAGCGUUAUCCGGAUUUACUGGGUGUAAAGGGCGUGUAGUCGGGACUGCAAGUCAGAUGUGAAAACCAUGGGCUCAACCCAUGGCCUGCAUUUGAAACUGUAGUUCUUGAGUGUUGGAGAGGCAGGCGGAAUUCCGUGUGUAGCGGUGAAAUGCGUAGAUAUACGGAGGAACACCAGUGGCGAAGGCGGCCUGCUGGACAAUAACUGACGCUGAGGCGCGAAAGCGUGGGGAGCAAACAGG
Molecule: ribosomal RNA, 400 nt
Filed under: uncultured bacterium
Lineage: Bacteria
Description: bacterial SSU rRNA
Rfam family: Bacterial small subunit ribosomal RNA
Source: RNAcentral